UGCCAGCCGCCGCGGUAAGACGAAGGUGGCAACCGUUGUUCGGAAUCACUGGGCAUAAAGAGCACGUAGGCGGGAAUGUAAGUCGGGUGUGAAAUCCCUCGGCCCAACCGAGGAACUGCGCCCGAUACUGCAUACCUUGAGGGCAGGAGGGGAGCGUGGAAUUCCUGGUGGAGCGGUGAAAUGCGUUGAUAUCAGGAGGAACACCGGCGGCGAAGGCGACGCUCUGGCCUGCUUCUGACGCUGAGGUGCGAAAGCCAGGGGAGCAAACGGGAUUAGAUA
This 279-nucleotide ribosomal RNA is filed under the name uncultured bacterium. RNAcentral's name for it is "partial 16S ribosomal RNA". It matches the Rfam family "Bacterial small subunit ribosomal RNA", at positions 506 to 784 of the family's 1533-position model. The record is from RNAcentral.